GGGAAGGUGGCUCAGUGGUAGAGUGCUUGCCUUGCAUGCAUGAGGCCCUGGGUUCGAUUCCUCCGCACCA
Dipodomys ordii (Ord's kangaroo rat) is the source of this 70-nucleotide non-coding RNA. The record is from Rfam. NCBI's taxonomy places the organism in Eukaryota, Metazoa, Chordata, Mammalia, Rodentia, Heteromyidae.